RNAcentral lists this ribosomal RNA (253 nucleotides) under uncultured bacterium. RNAcentral's name for it is "partial 16S ribosomal RNA". It matches the Rfam family "Bacterial small subunit ribosomal RNA", at positions 524 to 776 of the family's 1533-position model. The record is from RNAcentral.
UACGUAGGGACCGAGCGUUGUCCGGAAUUAUUGGGCGUAAAGCGCGCGUAGGCGGUCCGUUAAGUCGGAUGUGAAAUCCCAGGGCUCAACUCUGGAACUGCAUCCGAUACUGGCGGACUUGAGGAAGGUAGAGGAGAGUGGAAUUCCCGGUGUAGCGGUGGAAUGCGCAGAUAUCGGGAGGAACACCAAUGGCGAAGGCAGCUCUCUGGGCCUUUCCUGACGCUGAGGUGCGAAAGCGUGGGUAGCAAACAGG